UCCCGUUUAGCUCAGCUGGUAGAGCGCAUCACUUGUAAUGAUGAGGUCAGUCGUUCGAGUCCGCUAAUGGGAA
Molecule: transfer RNA, 73 nt
Organism: Dichomitus squalens LYAD-421 SS1
Lineage: Eukaryota; Fungi; Basidiomycota; Agaricomycetes; Polyporales; Polyporaceae
Rfam family: tRNA
About the family: Transfer RNA (tRNA) molecules are approximately 80 nucleotides in length.
Source: Rfam